AGAGUUUGAUCAUGGCUCAGGAUAAACGCUGGCGGCGCACAUAAGACAUGCAAGUCGAACGGACAGAAGCUCAUUCUUUAAGAUUGAGUGAAAGUUAGUGGCGGACUGGUGAGUAACGCGUAAGGAAUCUGCCUUUUAGAGGGGAACAACAAUGAGAAAUCAUUGCUAAUACCGCAUAUGCCAUAAGCACUGCAUGGUGCAAGUGGGAAAGGAGUAAUCCGCUAAAAGAUGACCUUGCGUCUGAUUAGAUAGUUGGUAGGGUAAAGGCCUACCAAGUCGACGAUCAGUAGCCGGACUGAGAGGUUGAACGGCCACAUUGGGACUGAGAUACGGCCCAGACUCCUACGGGAGGCAGCAGUCGGGAAUAUUGCGCAAUGGAGGGAACUCUGACGCAGUGACGCCGCGUAUAGGAAGAAGGUUUUCGGAUUGUAAACUAUUGUCGUUAGGGAAGAGAAAGGACAGUACCUAAGGAGGAAGCUCCGGCUAACUACGUGCCAGCAGCCGCGGUAAUACGUAGGGAGCGAGCGUUAUCCGGAAUUAUUGGGUGUAAAGGGUGCGCAGACGGGUAAGCAAGUUAGUUGUGAAAUCCCUCGGCUCAACUGAGGAACUGCAACUAAAACUACGGAUCUUGAGUGCAGGAGAGGUAAGUGGAAUUCCUAGUGUAGCGGUGAAAUGCGUAGAUAUUAGGAGGAAUACCAGUGGCGAAGGCGACUUACUGGACUGUAACUGACGUUGAGGCACGAAAGUGUGGGGAGCAAACAGGAUUAGAUACCCUGGUAGUCCACACUGUAAACGAUGGA
Molecule: ribosomal RNA, 800 nt
Filed under: uncultured bacterium
Lineage: Bacteria
Description: bacterial SSU rRNA
Rfam family: Bacterial small subunit ribosomal RNA
Source: RNAcentral